GGAAUCUUGCACAAUGGGCGAAAGCCUGAUGCAGCCAUGCCGCGUGAAUGAUGAAGGCCUUAGGGUUUUAAAAUUCUUUCGUCAGGUAUGAUAAUGACCGUACCUGCCGAAGAAGCCCCGGCUAACUUCGUGCCAGCAGCCGCGGUAAUACGAAGGGGGCUAGCGUUGUUCGGAAUUACUGGGCGUAAAGCGCACGUAGGCGGAUUUUUAAGUCAGGUGUGAAAUCCCGGGGCUCAACCUCGGAACUGCAUUUGAAACUGGAAGUCUUGAGACCAGGAGAGGUUAGCGGAAUACCGAGUGUAGAGGUGAAAUUCGUAGAUAUUCGGUGGAACACCAGUGGCGAAGGCGGCUAACUGGACUGGUACUGACGCUGAGGUGCGAAAGUGUGGGGAGCAAAC
Molecule: ribosomal RNA, 398 nt
Filed under: uncultured bacterium
Lineage: Bacteria
Description: bacterial SSU rRNA
Rfam family: Bacterial small subunit ribosomal RNA
Source: RNAcentral